AGAGUUUGAUCCUGGCUCAGGAUGAACGCUGGCGGCGUGCUUAACACAUGCAAGUCGAACGGGAAUUACUUUAUUGAAACUUCGGUCGAUUUAAUUUAAUUCUAGUGGCGGACGGGUGAGUAACGCGUGGGUAACCUGCCUUAUACAGGGGGAUAACAGUCAGAAAUGGCUGCUAAUACCGCAUAAGCGCACAAAGCUGCAUGGCUCAGUGUGAAAAACUCCGGUGGUAUAAGAUGGACCCGCGUUGGAUUAGCUGGUUGGCGGGGUAACGGCUCACCAAGGCGACGAUCCAUAGCCGGCCUGAGAGGGUGAACGGCCACAUUGGGACUGAGACACGGCCCAGACUCCUACGGGAGGCAGCAGUGGGGAAUAUUGCACAAUGGGGGAAACCCUGAUGCAGCGACGCCGCGUGAAGGAAGAAGUAUCUCGGUAUGUAAACUUCUAUCAGCAGGGAAGAUAGUGACGGUACCUGACUAAGAAGCCCCGGCUAACUACGUGCCAGCAGCCGCGGUAAUACGUAGGGGGCAAGCGUUAUCCGGAUUUACUGGGUGUAAAGGGAGCGUAGACGGUGUGGCAAGUCUGAUGUGAAAGGCAUGGGCUCAACCUGUGGACUGCAUUGGAAACUGUCAUACUUGAGUGCCGGAGGGGUAAGCGGAAUUCCUAGUGUAGCGGUGAAAUGCGUAGAUAUCGGGAGGAACACCAGUGGCGAAGGCGGCCUACUGGGCACCAACUGACGCUGAGGCUCGAAAGUGUGGGUAGCAAACAGGAUUAGAUACCCUGGUAGUCCACACCGUAAACGAUGAUUACUAGGUGUUGGAGGAUUGACCCCUUCAGUGCCGCAGUUAACACAAUAAGUAAUCCACCUGGGGAGUACGACCGCAAGGUUGAAACUCAAAGGAAUUGACGGGGGCCCGCACAAGCAGUGAGUAUGUGGUUUAAUUCGACGCAACGCGAAGAACCUUACCAAGUCUUGACAUCCUGCGACGAUGCUGGAAACAGUAUUUUCCUUCGGGACGCAGAGACAGGUGGUGCAUGGUUGUCGUCAGCUCGUGUCGUGAGAUGUUGGGUUAAGUCCCGCAACGAGCGCAACCCUUAUGGUCAGUUACUACGCAAGAGGACUCUGGCCAGACUGCCGUUGACAAAACGGAGGAAGGUGGGGAUGACGUCAAAUCAUCAUGCCCUUUAUGACUUGGGCUACACACGUACUACAAUGGCGUUAAACAAAGAGAAGCAAGACCGCGAGGUGGAGCAAAACUCAGAAACAACGUCCCAGUUCGGACUGCAGGCUGCAACUCGCCUGCACGAAGUCGGAAUUGCUAGUAAUCGUGGAUCAGCAUGCCACGGUGAAUACGUUCCCGGGCCUUGUACACACCGCCCGUCACACCAUGAGAGCCGGGGGGACCCGAAGUCGGUAGUCUAACCGCAAGGAGGACGCCGCCGAAGGUAAAACUGGUGAUUGGGGUGAAGUCGUAACAAGGUA
Molecule: ribosomal RNA, 1480 nt
Filed under: metagenome
Description: bacterial SSU rRNA
Rfam family: Bacterial small subunit ribosomal RNA
Source: RNAcentral